ACACAUGCAAGUCGAGGGGUAUUGGUUUUCGGACCGAGAGACCGGCGCACGGGUGCGUAACGCGUAUGCAAUCUACCUUUUGCAGAGGGAUAGCCCAGAGAAAUUUGGAUUAAUACCUCAUAGUAUAGUACAAUCGCAUGAUUGAACUAUUAAAGUCACAACGGCAAAAGAUGAGCAUGCGUCCCAUUAGCUAGUUGGUAAGGUAACGGCUUACCAAGGCAACGAUGGGUAGGGGUCCUGAGAGGGAGAUCCCCCACACUGGUACUGAGACACGGACCAGACUCCUACGGGAGGCAGCAGUGAGGAAUAUUGGACAAUGGGCGCAAGCCUGAUCCAGCCAUGCCGCGUGCAGGAUGACGGUCCUAUGGAUUGUAAACUGCUUUUGCACAGGAAGAAACAUCCCGACGUGUCGGGACUUGACGGUACUGUGAGAAUAAGGAUCGGCUAACUCCGUGCCAGCAGCCGCGGUAAUACGGAGGAUCCAAGCGUUAUCCGGAAUCAUUGGGUUUAAAGGGUCCGUAGGCGGUUUAGUAAGUCAGUGGUGAAAGCCCAUCGCUCAACGGUGGAACGGCCAUUGAUACUGCUAGACUUGAAUUAUUAGGAAGUAACUAGAAUAUGUAGUGUAGCGGUGAAAUGCUUAGAGAUUACAUGGAAUACCAAUUGCGAAGGCAGGUUACUACUAAUGG
Molecule: ribosomal RNA, 686 nt
Filed under: Flavobacterium sp.
Lineage: Bacteria; Pseudomonadati; Bacteroidota; Flavobacteriia; Flavobacteriales; Flavobacteriaceae
Description: bacterial SSU rRNA
Rfam family: Bacterial small subunit ribosomal RNA
Source: RNAcentral